This 36-nucleotide ribosomal RNA is filed under the name Apiospora neosubglobosa. RNAcentral describes it as "Arthrinium neosubglobosa partial 18S ribosomal RNA". The record is from RNAcentral. Lineage: Eukaryota; Fungi; Ascomycota; Sordariomycetes; Amphisphaeriales; Apiosporaceae.
AAGGUCUCCGUUGGUGACCCAGCGGAGGGAUCAUUA